RNAcentral lists this ribosomal RNA (657 nucleotides) under Armillifer grandis. RNAcentral describes it as "12S ribosomal RNA". The record is from RNAcentral. Lineage: Eukaryota; Metazoa; Arthropoda; Ichthyostraca; Porocephalida; Armilliferidae.
GGAAUUUUGUUCUGGUUUGAGUUAAGGUUAUUUAUUUAUGUAUGCAUAUAAGUUAGAUGAUGGAUGGUGGUAUGUUGAAUUAAAAAUAAUGGGAGAUUGAUUUAGGUAGUGUAAAGAAUUAAUUAAGGAUGUGCCAGCGAUUGCGGUUAGACAUGGGAUUCGAAUUUUAAGUAAGAGUGGUUGGUUAUGAAAUUUUAGGUGAAAUUUUAGGUUUAGGGGUUAUUAAAAGUGUAGAUUAAAAAUAGGAUUAGAUACCCUAGUAUUUGCAUUGGUAGAGGAAGAAUGGGAUUUAAAGGAUAUGGCGGUGUAGAGUAAUUUCAGGGGAAUCUGUUUGAUAAAUGAUAGUCCGCGAGGAACUUGCCUUGUUUUGGGCUUGUAUAUCGUUGUUUAGAUGAUUUAGGGAUGAGUAAUUUUCUUGAUUAUGGUUGAUAAAUAUUUCUAAUCAAGGUGCGGUUUGAUGAGGUGUUAUAAUGGGUUACAAUGAAUUUAUUUAUAUGAAUGGGAUGAUGUAAUUUGUUCUUGAAGGUGGAUUUGAAAGUAAUGAUUUAUUAGAAUGGGGUUGUGAAUUUUUGCGAUAUAAGUACAUAUUGCCCGUCGCUCUGGUGUAGUUAUCAGAUAAGUCGUAACAUAGUAGAUGUAUUGGAAGAUGUAUCUAGG